This 182-nucleotide long non-coding RNA is filed under the name Ictidomys tridecemlineatus (thirteen-lined ground squirrel). RNAcentral's name for it is "lncRNA (ENSSTOG00000030774.1)". Lineage: Eukaryota; Metazoa; Chordata; Mammalia; Rodentia; Sciuridae. The record is from RNAcentral.
GGAUGACAUCACUCAAGAAAAAUAUGAAUCCGCAGAAUUCAGUCCUGAUGAUUAUUCAGAAUCUGAACAAGAAAAGAGUUCUCAUAUGCCCAAACAAGAUAUAUAUAAAAAGAGAUUGCCUCCUGUAGUUUAUGAAGAUCCUUAUCAAGUUUCACUUCAGUACAUGGAGAAGCACCAGAUUC